CACAUGCAAGUCGAACGAGUUGUAGCAAUACAGCUAGUGGCGGACGGGUGAGGAAUACAUAGGAAUUUACCUUUAGGUGGGGGAUAGCCCAGGGAAACUUGGAGUAAUACCGCAUGAUCUCGUGAGGGCAAAGCCGGGGACCGCAAGGCCUGGCGCCUUUAGAGGAGCCUAUGUCGGAUUAGCUUGUUGGUGAGGUAACGGCUCACCAAGGCGACGAUCCGUAACUGGUCUGAGAGGACGAUCAGUCACACUGGAACUGAGACACGGUCCAGACUCCUACGGGAGGCAGCAGUGGGGAAUAUUGGACAAUGGGCGAAAGCCUGAUCCAGCAAUACCGCGUGUGUGAAGAAGGCCUUCGGGUUGUAAAGCACUUUAAGCAGGGAAGAAAAAAUUCAAGCUAAUAUCUUGAGUCUUGACGGUACCUGAAGAAUAAGCACCGGCUAACUCUGUGCCAGCAGCCGCGGUAAUACAGAGGGUGCAAGCGUUAAUCGGAUUUACUGGGCGUAAAGCGUGUGUAGGUGGUUGGGAAAGCCAAUUGUGAAAGCCCCGGGCUCAACUCGGGAACUGCUUUUGAUACUGUCUGACUAGAAUUCGGUAGAGGGAGGCGGAACUCCAGGUGUAGCGGUGAAAUGCGUAGAUAUCUGGAAGAACACCAAUGGCGAAGGCAACCUCCUGGGCCUGAAUUGACACUGAGACACGAAAGCGUGGGGAUCAAACAGGAU
This 722-nucleotide ribosomal RNA is filed under the name uncultured bacterium. RNAcentral describes it as "bacterial SSU rRNA". It matches the Rfam family "Bacterial small subunit ribosomal RNA", at positions 52 to 778 of the family's 1533-position model. The record is from RNAcentral.